AACGAACGCUGGCGGCGUGCUUAACACAUGCAAGUCGAACGGAAAGGCCCUGCUUUUGUGGGGUGCUCGAGUGGCGAACGGGUGAGUAACACGUGAGUAACCUGCCCUUGACUUUGGGAUAACUUCAGGAAACUGGGGCUAAUACCGGAUAGGAGCUCCUGCUGCAUGGUGGGGGUUGGAAAGUUUCGGCGGUUGGGGAUGGACUCGCGGCUUAUCAGCUUGUUGGUGGGGUAGUGGCUUACCAAGGCUUUGACGGGUAGCCGGCCUGAGAGGGUGACCGGCCACAUUGGGACUGAGAUACGGCCCAGACUCCUACGGGAGGCAGCAGUGGGGAAUAUUGCACAAUGGGCGGAAGCCUGAGGCAGCAACGCCGCGUGCGGGAUGACGGCCUUCGGGUUGUAAACCGCUUUCGCCUGUGACGAAGCGUGAGUGACGGUAAUGGGUAAAGAAGCACCGGCUAACUACGU
RNAcentral lists this ribosomal RNA (467 nucleotides) under uncultured bacterium. RNAcentral's name for it is "partial 16S ribosomal RNA". It matches the Rfam family "Bacterial small subunit ribosomal RNA", at positions 28 to 506 of the family's 1533-position model. The record is from RNAcentral.